UACGAAGGGGGCUAGCGUUGCUCGGAAUCACUGGGCGUAAAGCGCACGUAGGCGGAUUGCUAAGUCAGGGGUGAAAUCCUGGAGCUCAACUCCAGAACUGCCUUUGAUACUGGCGACCUUGAGUCCGGGAGAGGUGAGUGGAACUGCGAGUGUAGAGGUGAAAUUCGUAGAUAUUCGCAAGAACACCGGUGGCGAAGGCGGCUCACUGGCCCGGUACUGACGCUGAGGUGCGAAAGCGUGGGGAGCAAACAGG
This 253-nucleotide ribosomal RNA is filed under the name uncultured bacterium. RNAcentral describes it as "partial 16S ribosomal RNA". It matches the Rfam family "Bacterial small subunit ribosomal RNA", at positions 524 to 776 of the family's 1533-position model. The record is from RNAcentral.